This 2540-nucleotide long non-coding RNA is filed under the name Acanthaster planci (crown-of-thorns starfish). RNAcentral describes it as "uncharacterized LOC110977085". Lineage: Eukaryota; Metazoa; Echinodermata; Asteroidea; Valvatida; Acanthasteridae. The record is from RNAcentral.
GAGCUACCAGCGACCAGCGGCAGUGGGUGCGGCUGGGCACUCGCUCCAUUUCUACCACCUUUGGCUGAGCAGACGGUUGGGUUGGUGUACGACUGAUCAACAUUAAGGUCAAUCCGUGAGGUACCCGAUUGCUACACUGUUUGGCCGUGCAGCAGAAACUGCAGUUCACCAUGAAACUCUUGGAAGUUGUCCUCUUUCUGAGUUUUAUUGGAGGCAUCAUGGGCCUCUCCUGCUAUGAUUGCAGCUUUACUGAGAGCUGCUCCGAUCCAUUCACACCCAGUGACUCCCUGAAAAAAACCUGUUCGUCUCUGGACGGUGCCUGCUACAAACUGAAGGCCGAGGGCAGCGGCGUGAGCAUAAUUCAAAGAUCGUGUGUGCCGGCUGCAUCAUGUUUAAUAUGAAUGACUGUUUCAGCGCCUCGUAUCAGGGCGCUACGGCCACGGCUUGUUGCUGCACUGGGAACUACUGUAACGGAGCCAGCUCGCUGGGGGUGACGUCCGUCAUGGUCACUGCCGCCGUAGGCCUGGUGGCCAUGGCCAUAGUGGUGUAAAGACAGAGACACAGAUAAGAAUCUGCCAUGAUAGCUUACAGUUUAAUCAGCUGCAGCCUAUAGAGUGCUUUCGCAAAAUUUAGUGUUUCGUAAAUCACUGUGCUUUCAAGGGAGCGAUCGCGGGCAAAUAGCCCACGGAGCGCUCGGCCAUUCAUGAAUUUGUGUCUCCUGUUCGGGUGUAUCCUCUGUAUGUUAAUUCAGUACGCAGGCCAAUUUUUGAAGCAUGGAACGCUCUAUUUCCUAAAUGAUGCCAAAAAAUCACUGCUUUCCGAGAGUCUCAUUACACAUGCAGAUGACACAUAGGGAGACCGUGGAAAAAUAAAUAGUGUGGUAAGAAAAUGAAGCAGGAACAAUCAUAGAAAACAAAGAUGCGCCAAUAAUUACAAAAGGCACAUCCUCCUGCCACAGAAGACAACCAUGUGAAAAAGGACAUUAUAAGGAUGCACUUCAUAAGAACAAAUCUAAAACUUCAGACGAUGCUUGAUAAACAUGGCGAUCAAAAACCAAAAGUUAAAAAAAAUCAAACCAGUUCAAGAGCCUUUUCCUGAAGUGACCUAUCGACCCACUCGUACCCUGUAAAUCGUGCGUUGUAGACAACUUACGAAACUGGUAAGAGCGAUUUGCGAAGUUCAUUGACAACAGUUUGGCAGCCCCUUCCCUAUAAGCUCGAAAAGCUUUUUACACUGACGUUAUGAAACUAACCACACAAAACACAAUGAGGGGAUAUAGCUAAAUUGACUGGCAGACAAUGACAGGUUGCCAAAUUAAUUGGUAGAUGAGGGGACCCAGCAGUGUUGUAGUCGAGACCGCCACAAGGUUAUGCGCAAGACCAUACGCAAGACCAUUCGCGAGACCAAUCCCAACUUCCCUCGGGACGGUGUGAACUAUGACAAUGAAUGCAUAAUUGAAUUCAGACUGGAGGUCUUAACUGGGUUGGUCUUUUUGUGAUGACCUUAUGGGGUAGGUCCUGUGGACCUCUCAGAGAUGUUUCGACUACAACUCUGGUCGAUUGGUGGCAGCAUACAUGACACCAACUGUAAACGGGCACUCUAUAAAGGCAGCCUAUAGUAGCCACAGAAAAACCUACCCCAAUACGCAUUCACACUUACCGUAGGGGAAAAGUCUGCUACCUUCGACAGUUAAAACUGCCCUUCUAGUUUGUGCUUGUCAUCCACGUUACUGGUUAGCAUUUCAACUACAACAAACAAAUAAACCGAAAAAACGUUGGUGUUUGAAUUAAACAGCUUUUCCAUCAGUGUAGUGUGGUCCUAGUCCGGCCUUGUGGAUACAAGUGUUCAGUAUCCACUGCAUGUUUCUGCCACGCAAUACAGUUGAAAUGGCAAGAGGCAUACCCAAUUCCUUUCUUCUCUUAACUUGCCUUAGCAAAAGUAAAGAAACAAAAAAAGCAAAAAAAAUCUUCUCCUUUAGAGUCUUCGAAUUGCAUUGCUCAAGGAAAAGGCCUGUUAAAAAAAAUAACACUCGUGUAAUAAAGCAGCAUCAUGUAGAAAUCGGCUCGUGUGGUAUUAUGAAGAGUCAAGGCUGAGUAAAAUUGCUAUGAAGUCUUGAAUGCUUGUGAAUAGCGUUGAAAAUUAAAGGUCUGACAUUCAUGAUGUAGCUAUCUCCAAUGCACUGGGGUAUAUAGGUUCGAUAUAGUGAUCAGUAAAGAGGCAUGAAGAAAGAUACAUAAAUACGAUGGCCUUGAUGUGCCAAUUUUAAGAAAAUCAAAGUGCGGGUUAAUUAACUUUUAAGUCGUCCGAAGACUGCCACAUCAAAACCAACGAAGUUCUGGUCUCAAUACAGAAAAAUUUUAAUCUUCUAGUAAAAAACUGAAAUAUGGAUUAUUAUAAUAGCUGUCCCAGAUCCAUUUUGUCUAAAUUAUAAAGUAAAAAUGUAUUUGUAAUAAUCAAACUUUUGUAAAUUGAAAUCAUUUCUACGUUUAUGCGAUAUGUUGCAGAUGAGAACGUUACACAUGAAUAAAUGAUGACAAACA